Molecule: non-coding RNA, 188 nt
Filed under: Megasphaera coli
Lineage: Bacteria; Bacillati; Bacillota; Negativicutes; Veillonellales; Veillonellaceae
Description: raiA RNA
Rfam family: raiA RNA
Source: RNAcentral
CUGUGGUUGAAAGUCGAUGCCAGUCGCAGGCGAAGCGAUCCACGUAAGGAACCUGAUACGGUUCCGAUCAUAGUGCGGCCUAGAGGUAAGACCUGCCGCGAAAAGCGAGAGAAGCAGUAGUGGGGGACAAUUGUCUAUGAGCGAACCUUCCGGCAGGCGGGUGUGGGGGUAAAAACCAGGUCAGACGU